CCUACGGGAGGCAGCAGUGGGGAAUAUUGCGCAAUGGGCGAAAGCCUGACGCAGCGACGCCGCGUGAGGGAUGAAGGUCUUCGGAUCGUAAACCUCUGUUAGCAGGGAAGAACGGUCACUGUGCUAAUCAGCAUUGAUUUGACGGUACUUGCUAAGGAAGCACCGGCUAACUCCGUGCCAGCAGCCGCGGUAAUACGGAGGGUGCGAGCGUUAAUCGGAAUUACUGGGCGUAAAGCGCUCGUAGGCGGUAUGACAAGUCAAGGGUGAAAUCCUCGGGCUCAACGUGGGAACUGCCUUUGAAACUGGCGAACUUGAGUGUGUGAGAGGAUAGUGGAAUUCCAGGUGUAGGGGUGAAAUGCGUAGAUAUCUGGAGGAACAUCAGUGGCGAAGGCGACUAUCUGGCACAUAACUGACGCUGAGGAGCGAAAGCGUGGGUAGCAAACAGGAUUAGAUACCCGUGUAGUC
Molecule: ribosomal RNA, 465 nt
Filed under: uncultured bacterium
Lineage: Bacteria
Description: partial 16S ribosomal RNA
Rfam family: Bacterial small subunit ribosomal RNA
Source: RNAcentral